AGAGGAGCCUGGGGUCCCCGGGGCCCGCCGCGCCACCCGGAGGCCCUCGGCGAAGACCAUCCUGGCGUCUCGCGGUCGGGGUGGGCGCCGCGCCUCCCGGGACCUCGCGGCUGCCGGCGUUUCCCGAGCCUGAGUCUCCCUCUCCAGGCGGUGGGCAGCUCGGCAGCCGGCACCCACCUCUUCCCCGCUUCCUCCUUCUGCAGGGGAAGCCCAGUCGGCUGGGUCUCGGUCCUGUCCCGCGCUGGCCACGCCUUAGACUUCUUUUCACCUGUUUACCGCACACGGUUGGAGGUGGGGCCAGUUCUUCGCCCUGGAUUCGUGGCCCCCUCCCCGGAGGGCCAGAGCUGACAUUUUGGGUUUGGGCUGGGCUUUUCGUAGGCCUCAGCUGAUGCAAAG
Molecule: long non-coding RNA, 396 nt
Filed under: Marmota monax (woodchuck)
Lineage: Eukaryota; Metazoa; Chordata; Mammalia; Rodentia; Sciuridae
Source: RNAcentral